Non-coding RNA from Cladorrhinum sp. PSN332, 92 nucleotides. NCBI's taxonomy places the organism in Eukaryota, Fungi, Ascomycota, Sordariomycetes, Sordariales, Podosporaceae. The record is from the annotation of a GenBank genome assembly.
GCCCGGCUAGCUCAAUCGGUAGAGCGUGAGACUCUUAUACAGGAUUCUCCGAAUAAAUCUCAAGGUUGAGGGUUCGACCCCCACGUCGGGCU